CCUACGGGAGGCAGCAGUGGGGAAUAUUGGACAAUGGGCGCAAGCCUGAUCCAGCAAUGCCGCGUGAGUGAUGAAGGCCUUAGGGUCGUAAAGCUCUUUUACCAGGGAUGAUAAUGACAGUACCUGGAGAAUAAGCUCCGGCUAACUCCGUGCCAGCAGCCGCGGUAAUACGGAGGGAGCUAGCGUUGUUCGGAAUUACUGGGCGUAAAGCGUACGUAGGCGGUUAUUCAAGUCAGAGGUGAAAGCCCGGGGCUCAACCCCGGAACGGCCUUUGAAACUAGGUAGCUAGAAUCUUGGAGAGGUCAGUGGAAUUCCGAGUGUAGAGGUGAAAUUCGUAGAUAUUCGGAAGAACACCAGUGGCGAAGGCGACUGACUGGACAAGUAUUGACGCUGAGGUACGAAAGCGUGGGGAGCAAACAGGAUUAGAUACCCUGGUAGUCCACGCCGUAAACGAUGAUAACUAGCUGUCCGGGCACUUGGUGCCUGGGUGGCGCAGCUAACGCAUUAAGUUAUCCGCCUGGGGAGUACGGUCGCAAGNUUAAAACUCAAAGGAAUUGACGG
RNAcentral lists this ribosomal RNA (561 nucleotides) under uncultured bacterium. Its description in RNAcentral is "bacterial SSU rRNA". It matches the Rfam family "Bacterial small subunit ribosomal RNA", at positions 338 to 916 of the family's 1533-position model. The record is from RNAcentral.